This 479-nucleotide ribosomal RNA is filed under the name Streptococcus sp. oral taxon C08. RNAcentral's name for it is "bacterial SSU rRNA". It matches the Rfam family "Bacterial small subunit ribosomal RNA", at positions 28 to 492 of the family's 1533-position model. The record is from RNAcentral. Lineage: Bacteria; Bacillati; Bacillota; Bacilli; Lactobacillales; Streptococcaceae.
GACGAACGCUGGCGGCGUGCCUAAUACAUGCAAGUAGAACGCUGAAGCUUGGUGCUUGCACCGAGCGGAUGAGUUGCGAACGGGUGAGUAACGCGUAGGUAACCUGCCUGGUAGCGGGGGAUAACUAUUGGAAACGAUAGCUAAUACCGCAUAAGAGUAGAUGUUGCAUGACAUUUGCUUAAAAGGUGCAAUUGCAUCACUACCAGAUGGACCUGCGUUGUAUUAGCUAGUUGGUGAGGUAACGGCUCACCAAGGCGACGAUACAUAGCCGACCUGAGAGGGUGAUCGGCCACACUGGGACUGAGACACGGCCCAGACUCCUACGGGAGGCAGCAGUAGGGAAUCUUCGGCAAUAGACGGAAGUCUGACCGAGCAACGCCGCGUGAGUGAAGAAGGUUUUCGGAUCGUAAAGCUCUGUUGUAAGAGAAGAACGAGUGUGAGAGUGGAAAGUUCACACUGGACGUAUCUACCAGAAAGGC